This 253-nucleotide ribosomal RNA is filed under the name uncultured bacterium. RNAcentral's name for it is "partial 16S ribosomal RNA". It matches the Rfam family "Bacterial small subunit ribosomal RNA", at positions 524 to 776 of the family's 1533-position model. The record is from RNAcentral.
UACGAAGGGGGCUAGCGUUGCUCGGAAUCACUGGGCGUAAAGCGCACGUAGGCGGAUCUUUAAGUCAGGGGUGAAAUCCUGGAGCUCAACUCCAGAACUGCCUUUGAUACUGAAGAUCUUGAGUGCGGGAGAGGUGAGUGGAACUGCGAGUGUAGAGGUGAAAUUCGUAGAUAUUCGCAAGAACACCAGUGGCGAAGGCGGCUCACUGGCCCGAUACUGACGCUGAGGCACGAAAGCGUGGGGAGCAAACAGG